This 551-nucleotide long non-coding RNA is filed under the name Pan troglodytes (chimpanzee). RNAcentral describes it as "long non-coding RNA NONPTRT011574". Lineage: Eukaryota; Metazoa; Chordata; Mammalia; Primates; Hominidae. The record is from RNAcentral.
GCGCGGGGCUGGGGGGCGCAGAGCUCCAUUGGGCUGGGAACCAGCGCGUCUCGUGCCCUUGGGGGACCUGCCUGCCCGAGCCGCCUGCUAAGCCUCCCGCUCCCCUCCACGCUGGAGCGCGCGGAGCCCGGUCUGCUCGGAACUCCACUCUGCGGGAGCGGAGGCCGGCGCCAGCCCGGGAAGCCGCGCAGGGGGCGGGAGGCCGAGCGCGAGGCCCUUGGCGCCGGGCCUCCGCGUCCAGGCCGGGCAGCUUACGAUUCUUCAUCAACUCGUAAAAUGAGAUCGCCGCGGAGCUCGAGCCUAUUUGGCUUCUCCGGAGACUAGCAAGACCCUCUGAAAGACACCGCGUCCCCAGGGAUAAUCCCCCGUGUCCGGCAAAGCUGCCCCGCUCGAGCGCGAACCCUGGGACCCAGCGCGGGAGGCAGACCAGCAGCUGGCCGCUGGGCUGUGAACGCCAGGACCGAGCGGAAGCUUCCCGCCCGGCCGCGAUCGGUGCCGCGGCUCUCAGGGAAGUGGCUACGCGCGGCCCUCGGGAAAGCAGGUAAUUCGCC